GGGGGCGAACUGGAUUCGACCGGGUGAGCGGAAGCGUCAGUGGCGUGUCGUGGUUGGUCGGCCGGCCACGUAAAAAGCCGACCAAACCCAAAGUGCCGAAGCGCACUACGCUCUGGCUGCCUAAUUCAACCGCAGCCCCGAACCGCGAGCCUGGCCUGAGGGUGAGCGGGUCUCGGCGAUGCUUAUCAGGCCCCCAGCAGUAGCUACCGGCGGAACUGCUGGCGGUACCCACGGCCGGUUAGCGACGGGUUGGCCCCGCCUGCUGGACCGCCCGGAGCGAAACGGCCCAGCGGCAACGCUGGCCACAAAGCAGGCUACACACGUAGAUGCUGACGCGGAGCCACACCGGGACGCGGGUUCGAUUCCCGCCGCCUCCAUUU
RNAcentral lists this transfer-messenger RNA (380 nucleotides) under Gemmataceae bacterium. It matches the Rfam family "transfer-messenger RNA". Rfam says of the family: Bacterial tmRNA, also known as 10Sa RNA or SsrA, is named for its dual tRNA and mRNA-like properties. Its role is to liberate the mRNA from a stalled ribosome. The record is from RNAcentral. Lineage: Bacteria; Pseudomonadati; Planctomycetota; Planctomycetia; Gemmatales; Gemmataceae. RNAcentral also lists the same sequence under 1 other name.